UAGAUACCCUGGUAGUCCAUGCCGUAAACGAUGAUUACUAGGUGUUGGGGGAUUGACCCCCUCAGUGCCGCAGUUAACACAAUAAGUAAUCCACCUGGGGAGUACGACCGCAAGGUUGAAACUCAAAGGAAUUGACGGGGGCCCGCACAAGCAGUGGAGUAUGUGGUUUAAUUCGAAGCAACGCGAAGAACCUUACCAGGUCUUGACAUCCGAUGCAUAGCACAGAGAUGUGUGAAAUCCUUCGGGACAU
This 250-nucleotide ribosomal RNA is filed under the name uncultured bacterium. RNAcentral's name for it is "partial 16S ribosomal RNA". It matches the Rfam family "Bacterial small subunit ribosomal RNA", at positions 779 to 1029 of the family's 1533-position model. The record is from RNAcentral.